RNAcentral lists this ribosomal RNA (449 nucleotides) under uncultured prokaryote. RNAcentral's name for it is "bacterial SSU rRNA". It matches the Rfam family "Bacterial small subunit ribosomal RNA", at positions 355 to 796 of the family's 1533-position model. The record is from RNAcentral.
UAGGGAAUCUUGGGCAAUGGGCGAAAGCCUGACCCAGCCAUGCCGCGUGUGUGAAGAAGGCCCUAGGGUUGUAAAGCACUUUCAGAAGAGAAGAAAAGCUCAGGGAUAAUACCUCUGAGUCUUGACGUUAACUUCAGAAGAAGCACCGGCUAACUCCGUGCCAGCAGCCGCGGUAAUACGGAGGGUGCGAACGUUAAUCGGAAUUACUGGGCGUAAAGCGCGCGUAGGCGGUUUGUUAAGUGGGAUGUGAAAGCCCCGGGCUUAACCUGGGAACUGCAUUCCAAACUGGCAGACUAGAGUAUGGUAGAGGGAGGUAGAAUUUCCUGUGUAGCGGUGAAAUGCGUAGAUAUAGGAAGGAAUACCGGUGGCGAAGGCGGCCUCCUGGACCAAUACUGACGCUGAGGUGCGAAAGCGUGGGGAGCAAACAGGAUUAGAUACCCCCGUAGUCC